RNAcentral lists this ribosomal RNA (447 nucleotides) under uncultured bacterium. Its description in RNAcentral is "bacterial SSU rRNA". It matches the Rfam family "Bacterial small subunit ribosomal RNA", at positions 329 to 793 of the family's 1533-position model. The record is from RNAcentral.
UUCCAGACUCCUACGGGAGGCAGCAGUGGGGAAUAUUGCACAAUGGGGGAAACCCUGAUGCAGCGACGCCGCGUGAGCGAUGAAGUAUUUCGGUAUGUAAAGCUCUAUCAGCAGGGAAGAAGAUGACGGUACCUGACUAAGAAGCCCCGGCUAACUACGUGCCAGCAGCCGCGGUAAUACGUAGGGGGCAAGCGUUAUCCGGAUUUACUGGGUGUAAAGGGAGCGUAGACGGCGAUGCAAGCCAGAUGUGAAAGCCCGGGGCUCAACCCCGGGACUGCAUUUGGAACUGUGUGGCUGGAGUGUCGGAGAGGCAGGCGGAAUUCCUAGUGUAGCGGUGAAAUGCGUAGAUAUUAGGAGGAACACCAGUGGCGAAGGCGGCCUGCUGGACGAUGACUGACGUUGAGGCUCGAAAGCGUGGGGAGCAAACAGGAUUAGAUACCCCCGUAC